CUUCUUUCUCCUCCUCAUCACAAAAAUCCUUUCCUCGUAUACUGCUGGAUUUGGAAAUACAAGCAUGAAGAGGCUAAAUAUGGUGUGGCCACCACACUAUCCUUUCUGGGUGCAAUGGAGAAACAGAAAUUAAAUCCCUCUUUCACCAUCAGCAAAGAGACAUCAACACCUGCAUAAAUGGCUUAAUUUCAUCCCAAUCAAGAUGUCUAAUAUGGACAGGAUGAAUCAUUUUCAUUGGAUGCUUAAUCUUCCCUGCUGUCUGGAAAUAGAACAUAGAUAAAUUAAUUAGUAUGGCCAUCUGACAUCUACAUAGGAGAUUGAAACUGAGUUGAAAGGUCCUCUAAGUCUUGGAGAUACAGGUAUUAUACCUUAGUUAUUGAACAAGAGCAAGUAAAACAAAAAC
This 403-nucleotide long non-coding RNA is filed under the name Anas platyrhynchos platyrhynchos (common mallard). RNAcentral describes it as "lncRNA (ENSAPLG00000024666.1)". Lineage: Eukaryota; Metazoa; Chordata; Aves; Anseriformes; Anatidae. The record is from RNAcentral.